UCGCAGACACGUGAAUCAUCGAAUCUUUGAACGCAACUUGCACUCUAGGUUCUCCUAGAGUAUGCCUAUUUGAGUAUCGGUACACCACCACUCAAGUCUCCCUCUAAACGCGGGGAGAUUUGGACCUUGUGAGUCGUGUGUGCACGCGCGCACCGACUUGAAGAGUGUACUCUCACCCACUCUGACCCGUGGGUUGGGUAUUAUACACUGGCGUGAUAACCACAUUUCGUCAGGCACAACCCACGUGGUCGUACAGAGGGGAGUCGCCCCUAAAUCUUUUUCCACUUCGAUCUCAAAUUAGGUAGGACUACCCGCUGAAUUUAAGCAUAUCAAUAAGCGGAGG
RNAcentral lists this ribosomal RNA (343 nucleotides) under uncultured Archaeosporales. RNAcentral's name for it is "eukaryotic LSU rRNA". The stretch from base 1 to 79 matches the Rfam family "5.8S ribosomal RNA", at positions 72 to 154 of the family's 154-position model. Lineage: Eukaryota; Fungi; Glomeromycota; Glomeromycetes; Archaeosporales. The record is from RNAcentral.